GAUGAACGCUGACAGAAUGCUUAACACAUGCAAGUCAACUGUGGUGGACGGGUGAGUAACGCGUAAAGAACUUGCGUCACAGCUAGGGACAACAUUUGGAAACGAAUGCUAAUACCAGUUACUUUGAGAGUGCUUUGCGUCCCGUUAUCAACUGGAAGAGGUCACGGCUCACCAAGGCGAUGAUGGGGAGCCGGCCUGGGACGGUGAUAGGCCACAAGGGGAAGGAGACGCGGACCUUAAGCAUACGGGAGACAGGAGUGGGGAAUAUUGGACAAUGGACCAAGGUCGAAUCAAGCAAUUCGUUGUGCACGAUAAAGUUUUCGGAAUGUAAAGUGUUUUCAGUUGGGAAGCGGUACCAACAGAAGAAGUGACGGCUAAAUACGUGCCAGCAGCCGCGGUAAUAC
This 404-nucleotide ribosomal RNA is filed under the name uncultured bacterium. Its description in RNAcentral is "partial 16S ribosomal RNA". It matches the Rfam family "Bacterial small subunit ribosomal RNA", at positions 28 to 526 of the family's 1533-position model. The record is from RNAcentral.